Molecule: ribosomal RNA, 305 nt
Filed under: uncultured bacterium
Lineage: Bacteria
Description: bacterial SSU rRNA
Rfam family: Bacterial small subunit ribosomal RNA
Source: RNAcentral
GGAUUAGAUACCCUGGUAGUCCUAGCUGUAAACGAUGAGUAUUUGUUGUCGGGAGAUUCGACCCUCUCGGUAGCGGAGCUAACGCGUUAAAUACUCCGCCUGGGUAUUACGACCGCAAGGUUGAAACUCAAAGGAAUUGACGGGGACCCGCACAAGCGGUGGAACAUGUGGUUUAAUUCGAUGCAACGCGAAGAACCUUACCUGGGCUUGACAUGUUCACGAAAACCCUGUGAAAGCAGGGCCUUCUGCGAGCUUGCUCAAAGACAUGAUUACAGGUGAUGCAUGACUGUCGUCAGCUCGUGUUG